GAUGAACGCUGGCGGCGUGCUUAACACAUGCAAGUCGAACGGAAAGGCCCUGCUUUUGUGGGGUGCUCGAGUGGCGCACGGGUGAGUAACACGUGUGUAACCUCCCCUUGACUUUGGGAUAACUUCAGGAAACUGGGGCUAAUACCGGAUAGGAGCUCCUGCUGCACGGUGGGGGAUGGAAAGUUUCGGCGGUUGGGGAUGGACUCGCGGCUUAUCAGCUUGUUGGUGGGGUAGUGGCUUACCAAGGCUUUGACGGGUAGCCGGCCUGAGAGGGUGACCGGCCACAUUGGGACUGAGAUACGGCCCAGACUCCUACGGGAGGCAGCAGUGGGGAAUAUUGCACAAUGGGCGGAAGCCUGAUGCAGCAACGCCGCGUGCGGGAUGACGGCCUUCGGGUUGUAAACCGCUUUCGCCUGUGACGAAGCGUGAGUGACGGUAAUGGGUAAAGAAGCACCGGCUAACUACGUG
This 468-nucleotide ribosomal RNA is filed under the name uncultured bacterium. Its description in RNAcentral is "partial 16S ribosomal RNA". It matches the Rfam family "Bacterial small subunit ribosomal RNA", at positions 28 to 507 of the family's 1533-position model. The record is from RNAcentral.